This is a long non-coding RNA of Maylandia zebra (zebra mbuna), 600 nucleotides long. RefSeq lists it as uncharacterized. NCBI's taxonomy places the organism in Eukaryota, Metazoa, Chordata, Actinopteri, Cichliformes, Cichlidae. The record is from RefSeq and is a predicted model, not a curated record.
CAGUGUACCCUCCGUCACGCGCACACGGACUAUUAUGCUGGAUCGUCAAGCCACAGUUACGGAUCAUCUACUGGGAAUCAGCGCAUCGAGUCAUGGUGGUCUUAUUUCAGAAGAGGAAGGUCUCAGUUUUGGAUGGACUUGUUUGGAGACCUAAGAGACUCUGGAAACUUAAAUGGAAGCCACGAACACCAAUGCUUGCUGAGAUUCUGCUUCAGAGGGGUUCUACAGAAAGACCUGGAUGAAUGCAAAGACCUCUGGAACAAACACAGGAUCCGGCCAAGCAGACUUGCAUCGUGUCCAGGGGGGAUUCCAAACGAACUCUAUCUCUUGCCUCACAGAUAUGGUUCAAGAGACUGUGGAUUUGCUGUUGAGGAGAGGGAACUGGAUGUGUUUCCCGAGGAGGGGCUACCGGUUGGAUUGUGUGGUGAUCCAAACAUUGAGGAAUAUUUACAACAGGCUGUACAACAAAACACACUGCAGCAGCCACAAGACUGGGAAUCGGCCACAGAACUGUAUUUGGCCCUGAAGGACAUAGCUGGGUUUUAGAUACCAACUGAACUUCAGUUUGUAAUGACAUUUGUCAGAGUUACUCUGACGAAG